Molecule: ribosomal RNA, 232 nt
Filed under: uncultured bacterium
Lineage: Bacteria
Description: partial 16S ribosomal RNA
Rfam family: Bacterial small subunit ribosomal RNA
Source: RNAcentral
CGGACGGGUGAGUAAUGUCUGGGAAACUGCCUGAUGGAGGGGGAUAACUACUGGAAACGGUAGCUAAUACCGCAUAACGUCGCAAGACCAAAGAGGGGGACCUUCGGGCCUCUUGCCAUCGGAUGUGCCCAGACGGGAUUAGCUAGUAGGUGGGGUAACGGCUCACCUAGGCGACGAUCCCUAGCUGGUCUGAGAGGAUGACCAGCCACACUGGAACUGAGACACGGUCCAG